RNAcentral lists this ribosomal RNA (253 nucleotides) under uncultured bacterium. RNAcentral's name for it is "partial 16S ribosomal RNA". It matches the Rfam family "Bacterial small subunit ribosomal RNA", at positions 524 to 776 of the family's 1533-position model. The record is from RNAcentral.
UACGUAUGGUGCAAGCGUUAUCCGGAUUUACUGGGUGUAAAGGGAGCGCAGGCGGCACGGCAAGCCUGAUGUGAAAGCCCGCGGCCCAACCGCGGGACUGCAUUGGGAACUACCGGGCUGGAGUGCCGGAGAGGUAGGCGGAAUUCCUAGUGUAGCGGUGAAAUGCGUAGAUAUUAGGAGGAACACCAGUGGCGAAGGCGGCCUACUGGACGGUAACUGACGCUGAGGCUCGAAAGCGUGGGGAGCAAACAGG